UGCUUUCCCGAUCGUGCCCAGCUGUGUCUGAUUAUUUUCAACCAGUCCUGUCUUUUUAAGUCCACGUCUUGCCUGCUGCCUUUGUCUGUCAUUGAUGUUAGUUGGCGUCCUAUGGUUCCCUUUCCCAGUCCCUUGAUUAAACCCCUAGUUUUUCCCCGUAUUUGCCUGUCUGCCUGCUCAUUCCACGCCUGCCCGCACGAUCGCCGCUUCCCGCGAACGCGAUCGUGACAGACGGUUUGCUGUUUUAGCGCCAUUUUCUCGGUGCGCUUAAGUACCCUUGAAUGAAACGGAGCGCAGGGACAUUGGUCAUAAGCUUAAUUUUCCAGUAUCCUGAUUGGCUGUAAAGUCCGCCAAGACGUCCUGAAACUACAGUUUGCUCUCAUUCUAUCUUAGUCGCAUGACUGGAGCGGUGGUGGUCUUGCCCGGGUUGGGAACCGCCCCGGAGGUCGUGUUUUUGUUAUUCGCCUGCCCCGCUCUUUUUGGAGAAAGCAUGGUCAUGGAGCAUGUGGGGAACGAGGCCGCAGUGAUCCGCGCAGAAUAAAUCCUGGGGCUUUCGUGUAAGCCAUUCUGAAGGGAGCGGACCGUACGAGGGGAGACGCGCGAUACUGAAAUUGCACAGAAGUAACCCACACACCAUAUAAGCUAUGUUCAAAAUUGUGGAGUUUAAGGAGACAAAUGAGGUAGAACUGGUCCCUGGUGUGUGGGUGAAAGAUGGUGUCUGCCACUGGCCCCCCUAUAAAGGAAAGCAGUUGGAUUCAUCAAUGAAGCAUCAGGUCACUCCAGAGCACAGCUGGAUACAGUGGGAAGUCAGAGUGAUGUUUAUAACAGAGAGUUAUGAGGAAGGGAGACGGAAAUUACGGGAAGCUGAACAGCGUUCUGACCUCCAGUCAGAAGCUGAAGGGUCUGGGAAAAAGAAAAGGAGAAAAAUGCCAAGUAGCAGACUUCUAGAUGCCACUAAUGGUGCUUCAAGUGAGAGUGAAGAAGAAGCAGGACUGCAGCAGAGUGACAGACGUCUACCUGAGGCCCCACCAACCAGCCAAGUUAAAAUUAACACCAUUGCAGACUGCUAAUACUGGAAGUCAAAGUACUUUUCCCUGGAAUCCACCCCUCCCUCUGGAAAUGAUGUGGCAACCUACUGAUGCCCUACAUGGAGAGCAUGAGCUAAACAAAAACCGUGCAGACUUGUUUUCCUCACCACCACCACCUCAUCCAGAGCCUUCAAAAGUUCAGAAGUCCUGGAUACCAUCUGAAGUUAAUCAGUUUCACCAAGACCAUUCAAAAACUUGACACCACCAUCACAGCUACAAAGGACUCUUGCUGAAG
Brienomyrus brachyistius is the source of this 1323-nucleotide long non-coding RNA. RefSeq lists it as uncharacterized. The transcript is spliced from 8 exons. The record is from RefSeq and is a predicted model, not a curated record. NCBI's taxonomy places the organism in Eukaryota, Metazoa, Chordata, Actinopteri, Osteoglossiformes, Mormyridae.